CCGGCUUCGAUGCUCGCCUGGGGCUGCGGCCGGAGGUGGGCGCGCGGCGGCAGCUGCGGCUUAGAUUCCGGGUUCGUUAUCCGGAGGGACGUGCCCACACCGGGGGAGGGACCCGAGAGGGGUCCCCGGAGGUGCGUGGGUUGCCUUCUGGGCCGCGGCAUCUCCGGGGGCCUCUGAAAAUACCGUCGGGAUAAUACGAGGCAGCACGUCUUGCCACCGCCCUUCUCCCAUGUCGCCGGCCAAAAAUUGAGCAUGAAGACAGAGCAGCUGUUCUGGUCAAUGACAGCGCAGCGCCCGGCUGUGCCGGAGCCUUGGUUCGGGCGGCCAGGGAGGCCCAAGGCCAAGGCGCUCUUGGGGGCACGUUCAGGUGGCGCGGCGGCUCCUCGGGUCCUUCUACGAGCUGGGCCUUGUGGCCCCCGGAAUCUAGGAGUCCAAAAGGUCCUGCUCAGCUGUCCAGACUGCCGUCUCCUGGCGCUGGGCGGUGACAGGCGGCCGGGCUGCGCCGGCAGAGGAGGCUCCGGGCUGGGCGGGAGCUUCGCUCCAGGAGCUGCAGCCCAGCCUUCGCAGGAGGGAUUUUUUUUUUUUUUCUGUCGAGAAGCAGACAACAAGGCCCCGCCUCAUCAGAUAAGAGCGGCUCCUAAGAUUUCACGGGUUUUAAGCAGGGCCCGGAGGCGCUGAGGUCAGGAGAGCCCUGUGAAGGAACACCGCCCCGGGCCCAGCGUGCGCACAAGAAGGGUUUUACUUCACUUUCUUUUGUUUGAUAUUCUAUUAUUUUCUAACAAAGUGACCUGUCAUCUGUAACCUUGGGCCCUGGCAGGCAAAGCCCCUUCCUUGGCACUCGGGUCGGCGCGCAGGGUCCCCGCGUCUGUGCCCAGCCGCGCCCCCCCGCGCGUGCGCGCACGGGGCGCGGUGACUCCGUGGGAGACUCGCCGUCCACCAGGCGAGUGGGGAUGGGUGUGAGGAGGAAGGUGGGUGAGGAGGGUAAUUUUCCUUCUGGAAGUCCAGGGAAAGGAGCUGAG
This 1019-nucleotide long non-coding RNA is filed under the name Equus caballus (horse). RNAcentral describes it as "lncRNA (ENSECAG00000035360.2)". Lineage: Eukaryota; Metazoa; Chordata; Mammalia; Perissodactyla; Equidae. The record is from RNAcentral.